UACUGGAAGAGAUAAAUGAACAAACUAAGCUAACAUUUAUCUGGUGAGCUUAAUCUAUUCUUUAGAAUAGAACCACAAAGUUCUGUCAAAUGAUUUGACUAGUAGGCAUAUUUGUCUUCAGAGGAAAAAAUAUUGAAAUUUAAGCAAUGGGUCUUCUCAAUUGAGCAGGAAAAGGAGAAACUGUCCAGAAAACAAAACUGGUUUUCAGUCUAUAAAUCUGAGAAACUCCAGUUAUAAAGUAAAUCGAAGCCCAAGAAUAAACAGAAAGGAAAACAAA
RNAcentral lists this unclassified non-coding RNA (277 nucleotides) under Hevea brasiliensis (rubber tree). Lineage: Eukaryota; Viridiplantae; Streptophyta; Magnoliopsida; Malpighiales; Euphorbiaceae. The record is from RNAcentral.